RNA transcript from Scylla paramamosain (green mud crab), 2047 nucleotides. It is a transcript of the gene named pyridine nucleotide-disulfide oxidoreductase domain-containing protein 1-like, with no coding region annotated. The transcript is spliced from 13 exons. The record is from RefSeq and is a predicted model, not a curated record. Lineage: Eukaryota; Metazoa; Arthropoda; Malacostraca; Decapoda; Portunidae.
GCUGCGGGACAUGCUGGCUGAGUACUGAAUGGCGGCCUGCAGUUCGGACCCAUCUCCGCCACAGGAAAGUGAAAAUAGAAAAAAUUACUCACAUAAAAAUAUGAAAUAGAAGGAAGUGCAAGUUACAGGAGGACUGGAAGACACAACAACACCCAGGAGGCAGUGACAGGUGACGCAAUCACUGACCGCCUCCAGGUCCCUGCUUGAUGACACGGGGCGACAGCUGCGUGGACUGACGGCUUUCAAGUGAAUUAACACUAUCAUGGAGGAACCAGUAACUGAGGAAUACACGUACAUAGUGGUUGGUGGAGGCAUCGCUGGUGUCACCUGUGCUGAGCACCUGUAUAUUCUACAUCCUGAGGCCCAGACACUGGUUCUCACUGCCACGCCGCUCAUCAAGGCUGUCACUAAUGUGCUGCCACUCACCAAAACCCUUGACACGUUUGAGGUGGAAGAGCACGAUCCCAAUACCUUACAGAGCAAGUGCCCAAGCGUGUCUGUGAUACAAGAUUGUGUGGCUCGCCUGGAUGUGGAGAAGCAGCUUGUGCACACCUCAGCUGGCAGGUGCUUUUCCUAUCAAAAAUUGUGUGUCUGCACGGGUGCCACUCCCAAAGUUUUAGCUGAGAGAGGGCCCCAUGUUGUCUGGCUGAGAGACACUGAAUCAGCACAGCAAUUUCAGACACGGAUUAAAGAUGCUAGAAGAAUUAUGAUUGUGGGCAACGGAGGAAUUGCAACAGAAAUGGUCUAUGAGGUUACAGGUGUGGAAAUAAUUUGGGCCAUGAAGGACAAGCACAUGACUGCACACUUCAUUGAUCCAGGAGCAGCAGAGUUCAUGCAGCCUGAACUGAUCAGGGAGAAGGAUGAGGGCCCCACCAUAAGCAAAAGGAGGAAAUACACUGUGGAACAUUCUUCUCAGAUUUCAAGAACAUCAUUAAUUGGAGGAUCACUGGGGCCUGACUGGCACUCUGGACUCAAACUGAAAGGAAAAACUGAGCGCAAAAUCAUCAUGGAAAAAGAAGUUGAAGUGAAGAGGAUCUUUGAGCCAAUGGAAGUCAUGCAGUUAGAAGAAGCAAUAACUCGUUUGAAUUCUGAAGAAGGAGAGUGGCCAGUUUAUGUUGAACUGACAAAUGGGAAGAUUUAUGGCUGUGAUUUCAUUGUAUCAGCAAUAGGAGUGACACCCAACGUCUCAGCUGUUACCACAGGGAAUAAUUUUGCCUUGGGUGAAGAUGGUGGGUUGCUGAUUGAUGAGAAAAUGAGGACAACAGAAAAGAACAUUUUUGCAGCAGGAGAUGUGUGCUCUCCAGGCUGGCAAGUUGCUCCACAUUGGUUUCAAAUGCGCCUUUGGACUCAGGCACGGCAGAUGGGGUCCUAUGCCUCCAAGUGCAUGUGGUCAUCCCUAGCUGGGGAAGAGAUCUACAUGGACUUUUGCUUUGAGUUGUUCUCCCAUGCCACCAAGUUUUUUGGACACAAGGUUAUCCUCUUGGGGCUUUUCAAUGGACAGGGUUUGGACGGAAAGUAUGAAAUUUUACUCCGAUACACACGAGGUAUGGAAUACAUCAAAUGUGUGAUGGUGGAGGGCAGAAUGCAAGGAGCAGUGCUUAUUGGGGAGACAGACAUGGAGGAGACUUUUGAAAACUUAAUCCUCAACCAGAUGGACUUAUCAGAGUAUGGAGAGGACCUCCUUAAUCCAGACAUAGACAUUGAAGACUACUUUGACUGAUGAUUGGCAGAGCAAGUUCAGAGUACUUGUAUGAAGCCAGGAUAGGUUAACCAUGUCAACAGCCUUGAGCCAAUGACUGAAGGCUGAGAAACAAUCUUCAAGAAAUUUACUUACUAUCUGCAAAGAGUGAACAAGAGAAAGAUGAAUCCCACAGUCACUUCCAAGAUGGUCAAGUGAGUUAGGUUGCAUCAUAACAAGAUACUCUGGAAUAAAACUAAAUCCAUCAUCACUACACAUCAGUGAACGACAGUCUCCAUGCAAUGUUACAACUAUAUAAUAAAUGUAUUAUGUGCCAAUUUAAUAAAUUUUCCUAUUCAAGCUCUCGUC